This 66-nucleotide transfer RNA is filed under the name Coenobita brevimanus. Its description in RNAcentral is "tRNA-Gly". The record is from RNAcentral. Lineage: Eukaryota; Metazoa; Arthropoda; Malacostraca; Decapoda; Coenobitidae.
GUUUUUUUAGUAUACACAGUAUACGUGACUUCCAAUCACGAGGACUAGAAACUUCUAGAAAAAACA